This 2098-nucleotide ribosomal RNA is filed under the name termite gut metagenome. Its description in RNAcentral is "bacterial LSU rRNA". It matches the Rfam family "Bacterial large subunit ribosomal RNA", at positions 1 to 2005 of the family's 2925-position model. The record is from RNAcentral.
CCAAGCGAAGUAAGAGCGCAGGGAGGAUGCCAGGGCGCCACCAGCCGAAGAAGGACGUGGUAAGCUGCGAAAAGCCGCGGGGAGCCGCAAACAGGCAGAGAUCCGCGGACGUCCGAAUGGGGAAACCCGGCGGAGGUAAUACUCCGUCACCGUAUGAUGAAUACAUAGUUAUACGGAGGGAACCCGGGGAACUGAAACAUCUAAGUACCCGGAGGAAAAGAAAGUAAGAACGAUUUCCUAAGUAGCGGCGAGCGAACGGGAAAGAGCCCAAACCUGAAGUUUUCGGACUUUGGGGGUUGAGGUGCGGCAAAGAAGCAAGCGCGAAGCAUAGGUGAAUACAACGCGCGGCGAGCCGUAACCAGAGUACCGCAGGACACGAGGAAUCCGGCGGGAAGCAGGGGGGACCACCCUCCAAGGCUAAAUACUGAGUGGCGACCGAUAGAGCAGAGUACCGUGAGGGAAAGGUGAAAAGAACCCCGGAAGGGGAGUGAAAGAGAACCUGAAACCCUGCGUUUACAAGCAGAGAGAGCACGAUAAAUGUGCGAUCUCGUACUUUUUGUAGAACGGACCGGCGAGUUACGAUACGGAGCAAGGUUAAGGACUGAAAGGUCUGAAGCCGAAGGGAAACCGAGUCUGAAGAGGGCGAUAAGUUGCGUGUCGUAGACCCGAAACCGGGCGAUCUACCCAUGGUCAGGGUGAAGUGAGAGUAAAAUCUCAUGGAGGCCCGAACCACACGUCCGUGAAAAGGGCGGGGAUGAACUGUGGGUAGGGGAGAAAUUCCAAUCGAGCUCGGAGAUAGCUGGUUCUCCUCGAAAUAGCUUUAGGGCUAGCCUCGGAGAAGAGAUCCACGGAGGUAGAGCACUGAAUGGGCUAGGGGGCCACAAAGCUUACCGAACCCUAUCAAACUUCGAAUGCCGUAGGAUUGUUAACCGGGAGUCAGACAGUGGGAGAUAAGUUUCAUUGUCAAAAGGGAAACAGCCCAGAUCAACAGCUAAGGCCCCCAAGUGUAAGUUAAGUGGAAAAGGAUGUGCAAGCGCAUAGACAACCAGGAUGUUGGCUUAGAAGCAGCCAUACAUUAAAAGAGUGCGUAAUAGCUCACUGGUCGAGUGAAUGUGCGCCGAAGAUGAAACGGGGCUAAACUUACCGCCGAAGCUUUGGGAUCGCCGGCAUCAUUGAUGUGACUUGAGAGAAUGGGAGCGCGAGAAGGAGAGGGAACCGCGUGAGAGCGCGGAGAAAUCGAAUAAGAAGAAGAAGAAGAGGGAAGAGCAUAAGCGUAUGGCAUAGCGUAAGCGUAUGGCAUAGGCAAGGGAAGCGGAAGGAAAAAGGGGAAGAGAAGGAAGCGCAAGAGGGAAGAGACUCAAGUAAUAUCAAUGAUGCCGGGGAUCGGUAGAGGAGCAUUGUAUGCGCGCAGAAGCAUAACCGGAAGGAUAUGUGGAGUGCAUAGAAGAGAGAAUGCCGGUAUGAGUAACGCGAGCGGAGUGAGAAACUUCGCGGUCGAAAGCCUAAGGAUUCCUGGGGAAGGAUUGUCCGCCCAGGGUAAGUCGGGACCUAAGCCGAGGACGGAAGUCGUAGGCGAUGGAAAGCCGGUGGAGAUUCCGGCACCACCUAAAGCGUUAAGAGAAGCAGUGACACGGAAGGAUAGCCCGAGCGGGGUGAUGGUCAACCCCGUGCAAGCGAGCAGGGUGUGAGGCAGUGAAGUACACCUCACAGAAGCCCGAGACGUGACGCGGAGCGAAAAGAAGUAGUGAAGCGGGUAAAUCCAGGCUGGCGAGAAAAGCUGCUAUCAAGCUAAAAGGUGCCCGUACCGCAAACCGACACAGGUAGGCGAGGAGAGAAUCCUAAGACGAACGGGAGAACCCUUGUUAAGGAACUCGGCAAAGGCCCAAGCGACUGUUUAUCAAAAACACAGGUAUCUGCGAAAGCGAGAGCUGAAGUAUAGGUGCUGACGCCUGCCCGGUGCUGGAAGGUUAAGGGGAAGUGUUAGGGGAGACCCGAAGCAGAGAACCGAAGCCCCAGUAAACGGCGGCCGUAACUAUAACGGUCCUAAGGUAGCGAAAUUCCUUGUCGGGUAAGUUCCGACCCGCACGAAUGGCGUAAC